Long non-coding RNA from Globicephala melas (long-finned pilot whale), 1986 nucleotides. RefSeq lists it as uncharacterized. Lineage: Eukaryota; Metazoa; Chordata; Mammalia; Artiodactyla; Delphinidae. The record is from RefSeq and is a predicted model, not a curated record.
CGGGGGCGAGUUGGGAGGUCAUCUGGGCCUCCUGGUAGCCUCCCUGAGUUCAACCAAUCCAGUGAGGAGAAGCCGUGGGCGGGGCGGCCUCGACUGCCAGAGCGGCGUGAAAAAUUUCCCAAGGCAGAGCGAAAACCUUUCCUGAGCGACUGAGCAUGCCCGGUGGUGAAAGUAUAUUCCAUGCUUGGGGUGAAGACGUCUCUCUCUUGCUGGCCAUGAAAAAGAAAACACAAAGCUUCAGGACUGUUGGCUGCCAUCUUGGAGCUAUGAGGCGAACCAGCCUUAGAAUGAACCCAGAUGCUGAGGACAGUAGCACAGAGGAAUGGAAACAGCUUGCAUCUAUGAUGCCAUCUUUGAGCUGAUAACCAUACUGCAUCUGGAUCCUCAUUCAAUCUCUGGGUUUACAGUUACAGGAGGGUAUGUGGUUUAAACUCUCCACGGACUGACAAAAUCAUGUUUCUGACUCUGCAAAGCUAAGAAGACUCUGCUCCUGGAAGGCCUCUCCACUGACAGACUGAGUCAUAUUCGAAAUAUUUACCAACAGACUGAACAACUGAACAGAACAGACAACGUGCCUGGCUGUUACGCUGUCUAGGUGAAGGGAAACCAAAUGACCAGCUCAAGGACCCAUGCUAGGUGGAACCACGAGGAGCACAGGACCCAGACCACAUGACUUCCAGCUUGCUGCAUUCCUCUUUGUCCAGUCAAAGCCUCCUUAGCUGUGGGCAGGCUGCUGGUCGUCGGAGAAGCUGCCUGCAAAGAUGCUGGGACAUGCUUUUUAUGAACCAGGAAUCCAGGACAAAGGUAUACCUUCGGGAGAUUGCAAUUUUUGUUCCAGACCAUCACAAUAAAUACGCGGGCCUCUCACUGUUGUGGCCUCUCCCGUUGCAGAGCACAGGCUCCGGACGCGCAGGCUCAGCGGCCAUGGCUCACGGGCCCAGCCGCUCCGCGGCACGUGGGAUCUUCCCAGACCGGGCACGAACCCGUGUCCCCUGCAUCGGCAGGUGGACUCUCAACCACUGCGCCACCAGGGAAGCCCAUCUCAGCGCCUUUUAAUACGCUCCUGAGUGUGGUCUGGAGGUGAGUGUUCCACGAUCCGUAAGGAUUCCGAGCUACCGGAGACUCCAGUUCUUGUCUUGUUGCUCCACCAUCCCUCGGGCAUGGCCCUUGUCUGAAUGAAUAUUUGACCACACAUGGGUGGAUGGAUAUUCCAGCCAGGAGGACUGAGGGUCCCUGUCCUGACUUCCGGAGCUUACAAUGAAAUGAACUGAGCCAGAGAGGAUGCUACGGCAGAGAGAGACAAUGGCCAGCGUGACAGAAGGGAUUCAUCUAAGAUUCUUUCCCAUUAUAGGUUAUUACAAGAUAUUGAAUAUAGUUCCCUGUGCUAUACAGUGACAUAGAAAGAGAAGAAGGAAAAUUACACAUCAGGAAAGGCCCCGAAUGUAAGACAGCAAACAGACACAGUGAAAUCUAAACCAGGGUCAGUGACCUUCUUUCCAAGUUGGAUCCUCAAUGGGAGGGUGAGAACGGAGGGGCUGCUUUAUGGAAAUCUGCUGAGGCCCCCCGGGGAGCAGUGAAUGUGCCGUCAUCACCCCCUCCCUCCCCGUCAGCACCCCACCUUCGCGCCCUGCCCAGACACAGUUCUCUUACAGAAAAGUAGGAUAAUAAGGCCAUAAUGUUGUUUUCCAGAGGUGAGUGAAAACACCUUAAAUGUGUUACUGGUAUUUGGGGGAAAGGGAGAUUAGGCUGGGGGUGGUGCCCGGGAAGGGUGGUGGGUACCCUCAUUGAACCUCGGGAUGAAACUCUCCGGGCCCUAACACUGCCUGCCCCCUGGCAGAAACAUCACAGAGGUCUCAGAAGCGGCUUUGAGGCUUUUCCGGGGCUCGGAGAUGAUCCUUUGGAGCCCAGGCUCCGAAGGAAUUUAUCCUCCUCAUGCAGCCCUUCAGACAGAUGAAGGCAGUGUCUGAAACCUCCCCCUACUCUCCC